Molecule: ribosomal RNA, 430 nt
Filed under: Pseudomonadota bacterium
Lineage: Bacteria; Pseudomonadati; Pseudomonadota
Description: Proteobacteria bacterium partial 16S ribosomal RNA
Rfam family: Bacterial small subunit ribosomal RNA
Source: RNAcentral
UGGGGAAUAUUGGACAAUGGGGGGAACCCUGAUCCAGCCAUGCCGCGUGUGUGAAGAAGGCCUUAUGGUUGUAAAGCACUUUAAGCGAGGAGGAGGGUACUGGUAUUAAUACUACCAGCUACUGGACGUUACUCGCAGAAUAAGCACCGGCUAACUCUGUGCCAGCAGCCGCGGUAAUACAGAGGGUGCGAGCGUUAAUCGGAUUUACUGGGCGUAAAGCGUGCGUAGGCGGCUAAUUGAGUCGGAUGUGAAAUCCCCGAGCUUAACUUGGGAAUUGCAUUCGAUACUGGUUAGCUAGAGUGUGGGAGAGGAUGGUAGAAUUCCAGGUGUAGGGGUGAAAUGCGUAGAGAUCUGGAGGAAUACCGAUGGCGAAGGCAGCCAUCUGGCCUAACACUGACGCUGAGGUACGAAAGCAUGGGGAGCAAACAGG